UGCAUUCACUACUGUAAGUCGGUCUGGAUAAGAACGUCUGCUAAAUUACUAAAA
Molecule: non-coding RNA, 54 nt
Organism: Salmo salar (Atlantic salmon)
Lineage: Eukaryota; Metazoa; Chordata; Actinopteri; Salmoniformes; Salmonidae
Source: Rfam